Molecule: ribosomal RNA, 421 nt
Filed under: uncultured bacterium
Lineage: Bacteria
Description: partial 16S ribosomal RNA
Rfam family: Bacterial small subunit ribosomal RNA
Source: RNAcentral
AAUAUUACACAAUGCGGGCAACUCUGAUCUACCCAUGCCGUGUGUGUGAAGAAGGUCUUCGGAUUGUAAAGCACUCUAAGGUGGGAGGAAGGGCUUUAGGUUAAUACCCUGAAGUUUUGACGUUACCAACAGAAUAAGCACCGGCUAUCUCUGUGCCAGCAGCCGCGGUAAUACAGAGGGUGCAAGCGUUAAGCGGAAUUACUGGGCGUAAAGCGCGCGUAGGUGGUUCAGUAAGAUGGGUGUGAAAUCCCCGGGCUUAACCUGGGAACUGCUUUCAUAACUGCUGAGCUAGAGUACGGUAGAGGGUAGUGGAAUUUCCUGUGUAGCGGUGAAAUGCGUAGAUAUAGGAAGGAACACCAGUGGCGAAGGCGACUACCUGGACUGAUACUGACACUGAGGUGCGAAAGCGUGGGGAGCAAAC